UACGUAGGGUGCAAGCGUUGUCCGGAUUUAUUGGGCGUAAAGAGCUCGUAGGCGGUUAGUCACGUCGGAUGUGAAAACCCGGAGCUUAACUCCGGGCCUGCAUUCGAUACGGGCUGACUAGAGUGUUGUAGGGGAGACUGGAACUCCUGGUGUGGCGGUGAAAUGCGCAGAUAUCAGGAAGAACACCGGUGGCGAAGGCGGGUCUCUGGGCAACUACUGACGCUGAGAGACGAAAGCGUGGGGAGCAAACAGG
This 253-nucleotide ribosomal RNA is filed under the name uncultured bacterium. RNAcentral describes it as "partial 16S ribosomal RNA". It matches the Rfam family "Bacterial small subunit ribosomal RNA", at positions 524 to 776 of the family's 1533-position model. The record is from RNAcentral.